AGGGGAUAAAGGGUUACAUGGUGAAGAGAGAAAUUUGGCACAGCUAAGCAGACCAAGUGGGCUUCCUGGAGGAAGGGGCAUUCGAUUGAGAUUUGAAAGCUUUUUUUUUUUUUUUUUUUUCAUUAUUUGACUGCACCGGGUCUUAGUUGUGGCAUGAGAACUCUGAGUUGCGGCAUGUGGGAUCUAGUUCCCUGACCAGGGAUCAAACCCAGGCCUCCUAAAUUGGGAGCGAGGAGUAUUAGCCACUGGACUACCAGGGAGGUCCCAGAUUUUUUUUUUUAAAUCUUGAGUAUUGAAAGGGAAGCAAGGUCGAGUGAAGUCCCUGACAGAAGGGGCAGCUGAGGUGAAGCAGGUGAGACCUGGACUGUGUCGAUCAGACUAGUUGGGAUCCCAUUGCUAAGGAUGGACCACGUGGCUUUGUGGAGGUGCCUUCUCCUCCGAACAUAUUUCCUCACUGGAAGAGAAGAAAGACUGUGAAGAUACUGAAACAACACGUGUGAAACAGCCGCCCAACCCUGUGGGUGCUGCUCCUGUCUGACUUACUCCGGUCUGACUCUAGUGGUGGCCUGGCGGGCGUUCCAGGCAGGUGGUGACACUCCUGUGUCUCUGGUUUGAAGGGAAUCAUUAGACAUCAAAUGAACACUCCUUAGGAAGAGAUAAAUGUUGUCCUCUGUCAGAGCCGUGGCCCUGUCACCAGGGCAGGUGACCAGGACUGCACAACCAACAGCCCAGGCUCUGCGGUUCCAGCUCUGCGUCCCGGCUGCUCUCCAGCAGGAAAGGAGGCCAAGGCCUGUGCCCACUUCACACAGAGCACCUCAGGGCCUCGCCCUGGGGUUCCUGCCAAAGAGUCCUUCUUGCAUCACACCUGGAGGCCACCCCAGCCAGCAAGUCCAUCAGGAGGAAUAACACGUUCAGUCAACAGGCACCUGCUUACACAUUUUCUACUCAGAGAUAACUGCUCAGUCAGAGCUCUUCAGACCUCAAAGUGGCCCGGGGCCUGGGUCUGGUGGGGAGGUGCUGCUUUGGCAACACAGAAGCCUCUGCUGCCUCUGGGAGCUGAGCCCACACCUUUCCUUCAAUCUGCAGGUGGUUUCAGAGAACAGGUCUGCAAGACAGAGGCCACCAAGCAGCUAGCUGGCAACACACAGAGCAGCUUCCUCUCCCUUCCAGACUCAAGCAUCCCCUGGAGCGAGGCUACCUUUUGAGGGUCCGCUUGGACCUCGGUUGAUGUGUCCACAUCCACAUGGUUUAGUUUAGCCGGUUACUUUCCUCUGGACACUAGGAGUCAGUGGCGGGGUGU
This 1300-nucleotide long non-coding RNA is filed under the name Bos indicus x Bos taurus (hybrid cattle). RNAcentral describes it as "lncRNA (ENSBIXG00005025795.1)". The record is from RNAcentral. Lineage: Eukaryota; Metazoa; Chordata; Mammalia; Artiodactyla; Bovidae.